This 253-nucleotide ribosomal RNA is filed under the name uncultured bacterium. Its description in RNAcentral is "partial 16S ribosomal RNA". It matches the Rfam family "Bacterial small subunit ribosomal RNA", at positions 524 to 776 of the family's 1533-position model. The record is from RNAcentral.
UACGAAGGUCCCAAGCGUUAUCCGGAUUCAUUGGGCUUAAAGGGAGCGUAGGUGGCCUUAUAAGUCAGUGGUGAAAUCUCUGGGCUUAACCCAGAAAUUGCCAUUGAUACUGUAGGGCUUGAGUAUAGAUGCCGUUGGCGGAAUAUGACAUGUAGUGGUGAAAUACAUAGAGAUGUCAUAGAACACCGAUUGCGAAGGCAGCUAACGAAACUAUAACUGACAGUGAGGCUCGAAAGUGUGGGGAUCAAACAGG